AGAGUUUGAUCAUGGCUCAGAACGAACGCUGGCGGCGUGCCUAACACAUGCAAGUCGAGCGCGAAUGGGAGCAAUCCCUAGUAGAGCGGCGGACGGGUGCGUAACACGUGGGUAAUCUGCCUCAGAACCUGGGACAACCUGCCGAAAGGCUGGCUAAUACCGGAUAAGACCACGGGCUCUUCGGAGCCUGGGGUAAAAGGUGGCCUCUGUAUACAAGCUAUCAUUCUGAGAUGAGCCCGCGGCCCAUCAGCUAGUUGGCGAGGUAACGGCUCACCAAGGCAACGACGGGUAGCUGGUCUGAGAGGACGAUCAGCCACACUGGAACUGAGACACGGUCCAGACUCCUACGGGAGGCAGCAGUGGGGAAUUUUGCACAAUGGGCGAAAGCCUGAUGCAGCAACGCCGUGUGUGUGAUGAAGGUCUUUGGAUUGUAAAGCACUUUCGACCGGGACGAAACACCCUGAGCUAAUACCUCGGGGCCUGACGGUACCGGGAGAAGAAGCACCGGCUAACUCUGUGCCAGCAGCCGCGGUA
Molecule: ribosomal RNA, 534 nt
Filed under: uncultured Pseudomonadota bacterium
Lineage: Bacteria; Pseudomonadati; Pseudomonadota
Description: bacterial SSU rRNA
Rfam family: Bacterial small subunit ribosomal RNA
Source: RNAcentral